UAAGAAUUAGUUUAAAAAGAAUUAUUGACUGUUAAUCAAAAGGUUUAUUCUUAAU
Molecule: transfer RNA, 55 nt
Filed under: Mecistocirrus digitatus
Lineage: Eukaryota; Metazoa; Nematoda; Chromadorea; Rhabditida; Trichostrongylidae
Description: tRNA-Asn
Source: RNAcentral